GACGAACGCUGGCGGCGUGCUUAACACAUGCAAGUCGAACGGGAUUUAGUAAACAGAAGCCUCGGUGGAAGAUUACUAAUGAGAGUGGCGAACGGGUGAGUAACGCGUGAGCAACCUGCCUAUGACAGUGGGAUAGCCUCGGGAAACCGGGAUUAAUACCGCAUAAAAUCGUAGAAACACAUGUUUUAACGGUCAAAGAUUUAUCGGUCAUAGAUGGGCUCGCGUCUGAUUAGCUAGUUGGUGAGAUAACAGCCCACCAAGGCGACGAUCAGUAGCCGGUCUGAGAGGAUGAACGGCCACAUUGGAACUGAGACACGGUCCAAACUCCUACGGGAGGCAGCAGUGGGGAAUAUUGCACAAUGGGGGAAACCCUGAUGCAGCGACGCCGCGUGAACGAAGAAGGUAUUCGUAUCGUAAAGUUCUGUCCUAUGGGAAGAUAAUGACAGUACCAUAGAAGAAAGCGCCGGCUAAAUACGUG
This 478-nucleotide ribosomal RNA is filed under the name uncultured bacterium. Its description in RNAcentral is "partial 16S ribosomal RNA". It matches the Rfam family "Bacterial small subunit ribosomal RNA", at positions 28 to 507 of the family's 1533-position model. The record is from RNAcentral.